UACGUAGGGGGCAAGCGUUGUCCGGAAUUACUGGGCGUAAAGUGUGCGCAGGCGGCAGAGCAAGUCGAGUGUGAAAGCCCCGGGCUUAACUUGGGAAUUGCGCUCGAAACUACUUUGCUGGAGUGUGGCAGAGGAAGGUGGAAUUCCACGUGUAGCGGUGAAAUGCGUAGAGAUGUGGAGGAACACCAAUGGCGAAGGCAGCCUUCUGGGCCAACACUGACGCUCAUGCACGAAAGCGUGGGGAGCAAACAGG
RNAcentral lists this ribosomal RNA (253 nucleotides) under uncultured bacterium. RNAcentral describes it as "partial 16S ribosomal RNA". It matches the Rfam family "Bacterial small subunit ribosomal RNA", at positions 524 to 776 of the family's 1533-position model. The record is from RNAcentral.